CGGACGGGUGAGUAAUGUCUGGGAAACUGCCCGAUGGAGGGGGAUAACUACUGGAAACGGUAGCUAAUACCGCAUAACGUCGCAAGACCGAAGAGGGGACCUUCGGGCCUCUUGCCAUCGGAUGUGCCCAGAUGGGAUUAGCUAGUAGGUGGGGUAACGGCUCACCUAGGCGACGAUCCCUAGCUGGUCUGAGAGGAUGACCAGCCACACUGGAACUGAGACACGGUCCAG
RNAcentral lists this ribosomal RNA (231 nucleotides) under uncultured bacterium. RNAcentral's name for it is "partial 16S ribosomal RNA". It matches the Rfam family "Bacterial small subunit ribosomal RNA", at positions 99 to 334 of the family's 1533-position model. The record is from RNAcentral.